This 1342-nucleotide ribosomal RNA is filed under the name Limosilactobacillus mucosae. RNAcentral describes it as "bacterial SSU rRNA". It matches the Rfam family "Bacterial small subunit ribosomal RNA", at positions 61 to 1358 of the family's 1533-position model. The record is from RNAcentral. Lineage: Bacteria; Bacillati; Bacillota; Bacilli; Lactobacillales; Lactobacillaceae.
GCCAAGAUCGUCUUUGACCUGGCUAAGGGAACGACUUUGUGGCAAACGAAGUCGUAACAAGGUCGCCGUAAAGGGGAUAACUUUUGGAAACGGAUGCUAAUACCGCAGAACAAUUUGAAUCGGGGAUUCAAAUUUGAAAUGUGGCUUCGGCGAUCACCUUGGGAUGGACCUGCGGCGCAGUAGCUUGUUGGUAGGGUAACGGCCUACCAAGGCUGUGAUGCGUAGCCAAGUUGAAAGACUGAUCGGCCACAAUGGAACUGAGCCAGGGUCAACACUCCUACGGGAGGCAGCAGUAGGGAAUCUUCCACAAUGGGCGCAAGCCUGAUGGAGCAACACCGCGUGAGUGAAGAAGGGUUUCGGCUCGUAAAGCUCUGUUGUUAGAGAAGAACGUGCGUGAGAGCAACUGUUCACGCAGUGACGGUAUCUAACCAGAAAGUCACGGCUAACUACGUGCCAGCAGCCGCGGUAAUACGUAGGUGGCAAGCGUUAUCCGGAUUUAUUGGGCGUAAAGCGAGCGCAGGCGGUUUGAUAAGUCUGAUGUGAAAGCCCUUGGCUUAACCAAAGAAGCUGCAUCGGAAACUGUCACACUUGAGUGCAGAAGAGGACAGUGGAACUCCAUGUGUAGCGGUGGAAUGCGUAGAUAUAUGGAAGAACGACCAGUGGCGAAAGCGGCUGUCUGGUCUGCAACUGACGCUGAGGCUCGAAAGCAUGGGUAGCGAACAGGAUUACAUACCCCUGGCAGUCCAUGCCGUAAACGAUGAGUGCUACGUGUUGGAGGGUUUCCGCCCUUCAGUGCCGCACCUAACGCAUUAAACACUCCGCCUGGGGAGUACGACCGCAAGGUUGAAACUCAAAGGAAUUGACGGGGGCCCGCACAAGCGGUGGAGCAUGUGGUUUAAUUCGAAGCUACGCGAAGAACCUUACCAGGUCUUGACAUCUUGCGCCAACCCUAGAGAUAGGGCGUUUCCUUCGGGAACGCAAUGACAGGUGGUGCAUGGUUGUCGUCAGCUCGUGUCGUGAGAUGUUGGGUUAAGUCCCGCAACGAGCGCAACCCUUGUUACUAGUUGCCAGCAUUCAGUUGGGCACUCUAGUGAGACUGCCGGUGACAAACCGGAGGAAGGUGGGGACGACGUCAGAUCAUCAUGCCCCUUAUGACCUGGGCUUCACACGUGCUACAAUGGACGGUACAACGAGUCGCGAACUCGCGAGGGCAAGCUAAUCUCUUAAAACCGUUCUCAGUUCGGACUGCUGGCUGCAACUCGCCUGCACGAAGUCGGAAUAGCGAGUAAUCCUGAGAGUUCGAUCCGGGCUCAGGAUGUUUGCUGAACAAUAUGAAGGCCAC